AAACAAUAAGCAAUUUUUGCAUUUUGGUUUCGACCCAAAAAGAGUGUAUAUCACGUUGUUUU
This 62-nucleotide transfer RNA is filed under the name Drawida japonica. RNAcentral describes it as "tRNA-Arg". Lineage: Eukaryota; Metazoa; Annelida; Clitellata; Moniligastrida; Moniligastridae. The record is from RNAcentral.